This 205-nucleotide long non-coding RNA is filed under the name Panax ginseng (ginseng). RNAcentral's name for it is "long non-coding RNA (PGIN_LNC000042)". The record is from RNAcentral. Lineage: Eukaryota; Viridiplantae; Streptophyta; Magnoliopsida; Apiales; Araliaceae.
CGAUUCUCUUAAUCUACAUCUUCAAGACCACGACUGAUUGAUGAAAGGCCAACAAGAGCAUUAAGCUGUCAGGAGCAAAAGUAAAGCCAUGCACAUCAAUACCCAAACUCAGUAUAUCUUCAAUAAAUGAAUGUUUCCUAACUGACAGUAAAAAGGUACGGUUCCUCACUAUUAUAAAUGUACAUCAUUAUUGCAUCUUCUUAUG